This is a long non-coding RNA of Papaver somniferum (opium poppy), 654 nucleotides long. RefSeq lists it as uncharacterized. The record is from RefSeq and is a predicted model, not a curated record. The transcript is spliced from 4 exons. Lineage: Eukaryota; Viridiplantae; Streptophyta; Magnoliopsida; Ranunculales; Papaveraceae.
CCAUUACCAUCUCUCUCUCCAUCAGCGUCUGCAACGUAUCCUUCUUCUUCAUUCUUCACAGAAACACCACCACAACCAAUUCACAGCGACACCAUGACCACUCGACGUCUUUGUUUAUUUUGGAAACUAACAACAAGAGCACUUCCAAAGUUGAAGUCACGCAUAAAUUCUUCACCAAUGGUCGUGGCGAAGGAGCAUGCUAGCUAUGGGGAAAUAACAGAAUCAAAAGCUGGCCAGGGAGCACUUUUACUAAAAAUUCUUUCAAAAUUUUUUGAGGUAUAUUUGAAGAAUCGAUUAGAGGAGAUGAUUUAAGUGUAUAACCAUGUAUCUGGAAGUGAUUAUGGGUAUCUGGAAGUGUAUAACAAUCGUCGUAGUUUUCAUGUUAGCUUGUUGUACAAGCUCUGUUUUGCUUGUACAACAAAAUAGAGCAAAAACAGAGCAAUUAACUCUGUUUUUUACUCUUUUUUAUGUACUCUGUUUUAUGUGUGUAUCUGUGUUACAUACUCUAUUUUUUCCUUUGUUUUAUGUACUCUGUUUUUUGCUCUGAUUUAGUACUCUGUUUUUUGCUCUGAUUUAGUAAUCUGUUUUGCUUGCAAUUAACUCGUAAAACAGAGCAAAAACAGAGCAAUUAAUUAUUAUUAUUAUUUUUUUGUA